UAUCCCAAAAGCGGAGGAAAAGAAACCAACAGGUGCCCUAGUACGGCGAGUGAGCGGCAACAGCUCAAAUUUGAAAUCUGGCUCUUUCAGAGUCCGAGUUGUAAUUUGCAGAGGGCGCUUUGGCUUUGGCAGCGGUCCAAGUUCCUUGGAACAGGACGUCACAGAGGGUGAGAAUCCCGUACGUGGUCGCUAGCUAUUGCCGUGUAAAGCCCCUUCGACGAGUCGAGUUGUUUGGGAAUGCAGCUCUAAAUGGGAGGUAAAUUUCUUCUAAAGCUAAAUAUUGGCCAGAGACCGAUAGCGCACAAGUAGAGUGAUCGAAAGAUGAAAAGCACUUUGGAAAGAGAGUCAAACAGCACGUGAAAUUGUUGAAAGGGAAGCGCUUGCAGCCAGACUUGCUUGCAGUUGCUCAUCCGGGCUUUUGCCCGGUGCACUCUUCUGCAGGCAGGCCAGCAUCAGUUUGGGCGGUGGGAUAAAGGUCUCUGUCAUGUACCUCUCUUCGGGGAGGCCUUAUAGGGGAGGCGACAUACCACCAGCCUAGACUGAGGUCCGCGCAUCUGCUAGGAUGCUGGCGUAAUGGCUGUAAGCGGCCCGUCUU
Molecule: ribosomal RNA, 595 nt
Filed under: Exserohilum rostratum
Lineage: Eukaryota; Fungi; Ascomycota; Dothideomycetes; Pleosporales; Pleosporaceae
Description: partial large subunit ribosomal RNA
Rfam family: Eukaryotic large subunit ribosomal RNA
Source: RNAcentral